This 481-nucleotide ribosomal RNA is filed under the name uncultured bacterium. Its description in RNAcentral is "partial 16S ribosomal RNA". It matches the Rfam family "Bacterial small subunit ribosomal RNA", at positions 28 to 507 of the family's 1533-position model. The record is from RNAcentral.
GACGAACGUUGGCGGCGUGCUUAAUACAUGCAAGUCAACUGAAGCAGUGGUAGCAAUAUCGCUGUGGAGGUGGCGCACGGGUGAUUAACACGUAGGUAAUCUGCCUUCAGGUCUGGCAUAACUCCUUGAAACCGGGGCUAAUAGCAGAUGAUGCAGCUGUUCGACAUAUAGAUAGUUGGUAAAAGUAGGUCUUCCUAACAUGUAUCAGUGUCUGAUUAGCUAGUUGGCUGGGUAACGGCCCAACAAGGCAACGAUCAGUCGCUGGUGUGAGAGGAUGAUCAGCAACACUGAAACUGACACACGGCCCAGACUAGUACGGGAGGCAGCAGUAAGGAAUAUUGCUCAAUGGGUGAAAGCCUAAAGCAGCAACGCCGCGUGAGGGACGAAGGGCUUUUGAUUGUAAACCUCUGUAGUGAGAGAAAAAAAUCCCAAUCUUUGGGACAUGAUGGUAUCUAAAAAGUAAGCCACGGCUAACUACGUG